AGGAUUUUUAAAAAUCAUUUAUUAAACCCUUACAGUUACCAGUGGAGGUGGGUGGGUGUGCUUUUCCAGAACAAUUUCACAUGAACAAAAAAGUGUUUGGAGACAUUCUGUGAGCCAGUGGAAGAGGUUUCCAGAGGGUUCACCAGUCAAAGACCAGUCAGUCUGUUCUGUGGGGGCUCUGGAGAGGCUCGCUGACUCUGAAGAGUGGAGUCAGCAGAAACUGCCCCCCUGCCAGCAGCGGUGAGGCAGUGCCUGCAUCCAGACCUUCCGCAAGCUCUUCUUCUGAGGCUUUGCACUUCCCAGGGGCAGGCUGGGCCGGGAGGACAAGGGUCGAAGGGAUAUAAAGGCCCAGGUAGGUCCAAAGAAAGGGCUACUUCUUCAGAUGAGGUGGCCUCCGCCAGUUCCUUCCACUCCCCACCCAAGGCCACUUAGGCAGCCCAGCAUCCCCUACCCUGGCUCAAGUGGCCUCCUCUGUCCUCUUUUAGGAACAGGAGGUCACAGGGCUUCCCAUCUGAUGAGUCUGGAAGCUGGUACACAUCCACGUGCCAGCGCUCCCACAUAUAGAGCACCCACAUGCAAACCGGGCACAGCUGGACAUCUGGGCAGAGCCACACACAGCUCCCCGACUUCCACACAUGCACACAAGUGCAAGACACAAGGUCACACUCCAACACUGUCACCCCAAGUGCAUAAAAACAUUCCCCAUAGACGUCAAAGACAGGCAUGUUCAUAUACAGCAAUUCAUACACACACACACACACACACACACACACACACACACACACCCCACAUACACACGGGCCCUCAUAAAUACUCUCUGCUUACACACUUUAUAUAACAUCUAUGUAGCAGCUACUGUGGGCUUCUGCUCAGAUCCCCUGCUUCUCUCUGCAAUGAAGCUUCCGCUCGCCCAGGCAAGGUCACCCAGCAGGACAGAGUCCAAAAGCAGAGGUACAAAAGCCAGGCCCCCCUGCCCUGGUUCAGGACCACUCUUCAGGGCCAUGAUAGCUUCAGAACCUUUGUUAUUGCAGCAACACAAUUCCUCCCCUUACCCAGUCCUGCUUCUGUCAUUUCCAGGAGGCGAGGGCCACAGUGCUCCUCCAAGAGGUACAAGUCUGAGCAGAGCUCUCUCUUUUCUUAAGGGUCUUCAGUCCUCUAGUCUGGACAUGAUUAGAACUUUUCUUCCUGCAGUCUGAAGUUGACCUGCAGCCUGGGCCUGGAGCAGAAGCCCCAAGAUGAUUCCUGGACAGGCCACCAAAGAGCUGACUCCAGGUUUGGAACAGAUUGGGGGAGCCUCCCUAAUAUCUGCAUUCAGUGCUGAAAUUGGUAAAAGGAAUCCCCGCUCCACCUGUGCUUCUGUUCCUCAUCUCAAGCCCCAGUUGGCUCUGUGACUGCGGGCAAGACUUCCCUCCUUUGGCCUCAAGUUUUCCAUAUAUACAGUGGGACACAGGCUUCCUGCAGUAUCUCUAAAGGGGUGCAAGGCCUGGUCUAGACCUAUGCUGCUCAAAAUGGGGUCCACUGGCCAGCAGCACUGGCCUCACUGGUUAGAGAAGCUGAAUCGCAGGCCCCACCCAAGACUUGCCGCGUCAGAAUCUGCAUUUUUACAAGAUCCCUGGGUGGUUCCGAUGAAGUCCCAGAGAAGCUCCAGACACCAUGGAACAGAGCACAGUAUCCAGUCAUUUCUAACUGCUGGAAUCCAGAGCCUGUGAAUGUCUGAACCCAAACAUCAGCCAGACUGCCCAGCGAGGGGCUUGCAUGUGGUUGUUUUUCUUUUUCUUUCUUUCCUUUUUUUUUUUUAGGGCCAUAGGUGCGGCAUAUGGAAGUUCCCCGGCGGAGUCG
This 1839-nucleotide long non-coding RNA is filed under the name Sus scrofa (pig). RNAcentral's name for it is "lncRNA (ENSSSCG00005024022.1)". Lineage: Eukaryota; Metazoa; Chordata; Mammalia; Artiodactyla; Suidae. The record is from RNAcentral.